RNAcentral lists this long non-coding RNA (734 nucleotides) under Elaeis guineensis (African oil palm). RNAcentral's name for it is "long non-coding RNA (EGUI_LNC000806)". The record is from RNAcentral. Lineage: Eukaryota; Viridiplantae; Streptophyta; Magnoliopsida; Arecales; Arecaceae.
GGACUCCUACGGGAGCCGGGCUUCUUCCCCGAACUCCGACUGCAGGUAGACUUCAUCCGGACUCCUACGGGAGCCGGACUUCGUCCCCGAAUUCCGGCUGCAGGUAGACUUCAUCCGGUCUCCUACGGGAGCCGGGCUUCUUCCCCGAACUCCGACUACAGGUAGACUUCGUCCGGACUCCUAUGGGAGCCGGACUUCGUCCCCGAACUCCGGCUGCAGGUAGAUUUCGUCCAGACUCCUACGGGGGCCGGACUUCGUCCCCGAACUCCGGCUGCAGGUAGACUUCAUCCGGACUCCUACGGGAGCCGAACUUCGUCCCCGAACUCCGGCUGCAGGUAGACUUCAUCCGGACUCCUACGGGAGCCGGACUUCGUCCCCGAACUCCGGCUGCAGGUAGACUUCAUCCGGACUCCUACAGGAGCCGGACUUCGUCCCUGAACUCCGACUGCAGGCAGACUUCGUCCGAACCCCUACAAGGGCCGGACUCCGAGCUCCUGCUACAAGCGGUCUACUUUAAAUUUCCACUGCUCGCGGUCCGCGCCGGAUUCUCGCGGUAAGCCUCCACCCGAGCCUCCAUCAUGGACGAAUUCCUUUCAGAUUUCUAUUGCAGGCAGGCUUCGGCCGAGCCCCCUCGACAAAUGAUCCCCAUUCAGGCUUCUACGGAGAUCGGACUCCGACCGAACUCCUGUAGCGGUCAGAUCCCGUACGAACUCCUACGACACGCAGACUCCAGC